UGUCUGGCAGUUAGCUCUCUGCAACUCUCACAUAGUCGCCCACUGAAGCUAAGCAGGGCUGCGCCUGGUCAGUACCUUAAUGGGAGAUCACAUGGGAAAACUAGGUUGCUCAACCC
Molecule: ribosomal RNA, 116 nt
Organism: Danio rerio (zebrafish)
Lineage: Eukaryota; Metazoa; Chordata; Actinopteri; Cypriniformes; Danionidae
Source: Ensembl